GACGAACGCUGGCGGCGUGCCUAAUACAUGCAAGUAGAACGCUGAAGGCGGAGCUUGCUUCUCUGGAUGAGUUGCGAACGGGUGAGUAACGCGUAGGUAACCUGCCUGUUAGCGGGGGAUAACUAUUGGAAACGUUAGCUAAUACCGCAUAAGAGUAGAUGUUGCAUGACAUUUGCUUAUAAGGUUCAAUUGCAUCACUACCAAAUGGACCUACGUUGUAUUAUCUAGUUGGUGGGGUAACGGCUUACCAAGGCGACGAUACAUAGCCGACCUGACAGGGUGAUCGGACAACCUGGGACGGAGACACGACCCAGAAUACUGCGAGAGGCAGCAGUAGGGAAUCUUCGGGAAUGGACGGAAGUCUGACCGAGCAACGACGCGUGAGUGAAGAAGGUAUUCAGAUCGUAAAGCUGUGGUGUAAGAGAAGAACGAAUGAGUGUGUGGAAAGUGCAGACUGUGACGGUAUCUUACCAGAAAGGGACGGCUAACUACGUG
This 495-nucleotide ribosomal RNA is filed under the name uncultured bacterium. Its description in RNAcentral is "partial 16S ribosomal RNA". It matches the Rfam family "Bacterial small subunit ribosomal RNA", at positions 28 to 507 of the family's 1533-position model. The record is from RNAcentral.